GAUGAACGCUGGCGGCGUGCCUAAUACAUGCAAGUCGAGCGAACAGACGAGGAUCUUGCUCCUCUGACGUUAGCGGCGGACAGGUGAGUAACCCGUGGAUAACCUACCUAUCAGACUGGGAUAACUUCGGGAAACCGGGGCUAAUACCGGAUAAUAUAUUCAACCGCAUGGUUCACUAGUGAAAGACGGUUUUGCUGUCACUUAUAGAUGGAUCCGCGCCGCAUUAGCUAGUUGGUAAGGUAACGGCUUACCAAGGCACCGAUGCGUAGCCGACCAGGGAGGGGGAUCGUACACAGUGGAAGAGAGACACGGGCCAGACUGCUACGGGGGGCAGCAGUAGGGAACCACCCGAAGCGGCCGAGAGCAUGACGGAGCAACGCGGCGUGAGUGAUGAAGGUAUUCGGAUGGGAAAACUCUGUUAUUAGGGAAGAACAAAUGUGUAACUAACUAUGCACGUCUUGACGGUACCUAAGCAGAAAGCCACGGCUAACUACGUG
Molecule: ribosomal RNA, 497 nt
Filed under: uncultured bacterium
Lineage: Bacteria
Description: partial 16S ribosomal RNA
Rfam family: Bacterial small subunit ribosomal RNA
Source: RNAcentral